Molecule: ribosomal RNA, 3028 nt
Filed under: Salmonella enterica subsp. enterica serovar Waycross
Lineage: Bacteria; Pseudomonadati; Pseudomonadota; Gammaproteobacteria; Enterobacterales; Enterobacteriaceae
Description: 23S ribosomal RNA
Rfam family: Bacterial large subunit ribosomal RNA
Source: RNAcentral
GGGUUGUGAGGUUAAGCGACUAAGCGUACACGGUGGAUGCCCUGGCAGUCAGAGGCGAUGAAGGGCGUGCUAAUCUGCGAUAAGCGCCGGUAAGGUGAUAUGAACCGUUAUAACCGGCGAUACCCGAAUGGGGAAACCCAGUGUGAUUCGUCACACUAUCAUUAACUGAAUCCAUAGGUUAAUGAGGCGAACCGGGGGAACUGAAACAUCUAAGUACCCCGAGGAAAAGAAAUCAACCGAGAUUCCCCCAGUAGCGGCGAGCGAACGGGGAGGAGCCCAGAGCCUGAAUCAGCAUGUGUGUUAGUGGAAGCGUCUGGAAAGGCGCGCGAUACAGGGUGACAGCCCCGUACACAAAAGCGCAUGUGCUGUGAGCUCGAUGAGUAGGGCGGGACACGUGGUAUCCUGUCUGAAUAUGGGGGGACCAUCCUCCAAGGCUAAAUACUCCUGACUGACCGAUAGUGAACCAGUACCGUGAGGGAAAGGCGAAAAGAACCCCGGCGAGGGGAGUGAAAAAGAACCUGAAACCGUGUACGUACAAGCAGUGGGAGCCCCACCACUAAGCCAGUGGUGAACUCCACAUACGCAUCCUUUGCUGAGGAUACAGUUAACGGAGCGAAAGCGACGUUCAACCGCAAAAGAAGCAGAGGGGGCUUAGUGGUGGGGUGACUGCGUACCUUUUGUAUAAUGGGUCAGCGACUUAUAUUCUGUAGCAAGGUUAACCGAAUAGGGGAGCCGCAGGGAAACCGAGUCUUAACCGGGCGUUAAGUUGCAGGGUAUAGACCCGAAACCCGGUGAUCUAGCCAUGGGCAGGUUGAAGGUUGGGUAACACUAACUGGAGGACCGAACCGACUAAUGUUGAAAAAUUAGCGGAUGACCUGUGGCUGGGGGUGAAAGGCCAAUCAAACCGGGAGAUAGCUGGUUCUCCCCGAAAGCUAUUUAGGUAGCGCCUCGUGAAUUCAUCUCCGGGGGUAGAGCACUGUUUCGGCUAGGGGGCCAUCCCGGCUUACCAACCCGAUGCAAACUGCGAAUACCGGAGAAUGUUAUCACGGGAGACACACGGCGGGUGCUAACGUCCGUCGUGAAGAGGGAAACAACCCAGACCGCCAGCUAAGGUCCCAAAGUCAUGGUUAAGUGGGAAACGAUGUGGGAAGGCCCAGACAGCCAGGAUGUUGGCUUAGAAGCAGCCAUCAUUUAAAGAAAGCGUAAUAGCUCACUGGUCGAGUCGGCCUGCGCGGAAGAUGUAACGGGGCUAAACCAUGCACCGAAGCUGCGGCAGCGACGCUGAUGCGUUGUUGGGUAGGGGAGCGUUCUGUAAGCCUGUGAAGGUGGCCUGUGAGGGUUGCUGGAGGUAUCAGAAGUGCGAAUGCUGACAUAAGUAACGAUAAAGCGGGUGAAAAGCCCGCUCGCCGGAAGACCAAGGGUUCCUGUCCAACGUUAAUCGGGGCAGGGUGAGUCGACCCCUAAGGCGAGGCCGAAAGGCGUAGUCGAUGGGAAACGGGUUAAUAUUCCCGUACUUGGUGUUACUGCGAAGGGGGGACGGAGAAGGCUAUGUUGGCCGGGCGACGGUUGUCCCGGUUUAAGCGUGUAGGUGUGUGUUCCAGGUAAAUCCGGUUCACUUUAACACUGAGGCGUGACGACGAGGCACUACGGUGCUGAAGCAACAAAUGCCCUGCUUCCAGGAAAAGCCUCUAAGCAUCAGGUAACAUCAAAUCGUACCCCAAACCGACACAGGUGGUCAGGUAGAGAAUACCAAGGCGCUUGAGAGAACUCGGGUGAAGGAACUAGGCAAAAUGGUGCCGUAACUUCGGGAGAAGGCACGCUGACACGUAGGUGAAGUGAUUUACUCAUGGAGCUGAAGUCAGUCGAAGAUACCAGCUGGCUGCAACUGUUUAUUAAAAACACAGCACUGUGCAAACACGAAAGUGGACGUAUACGGUGUGACGCCUGCCCGGUGCCGGAAGGUUAAUUGAUGGGGUCAGCGCAAGCGAAGCUCCUGAUCGAAGCCCCGGUAAACGGCGGCCGUAACUAUAACGGUCCUAAGGUAGCGAAAUUCCUUGUCGGGUAAGUUCCGACCUGCACGAAUGGCGUAAUGAUGGCCAGGCUGUCUCCACCCGAGACUCAGUGAAAUUGAACUCGCUGUGAAGAUGCAGUGUACCCGCGGCAAGACGGAAAGACCCCGUGAACCUUUACUAUAGCUUGACACUGAACAUUGAGCCUUGAUGUGUAGGAUAGGUGGGAGGCUUUGAAGUGUGGACGCCAGUCUGCAUGGAGCCGACCUUGAAAUACCACCCUUUAAUGUUUGAUGUUCUAACGUGGACCCGUGAUCCGGGUUGCGGACAGUGUCUGGUGGGUAGUUUGACUGGGGCGGUCUCCUCCUAAAGAGUAACGGAGGAGCACGAAGGUUGGCUAAUCCUGGUCGGACAUCAGGAGGUUAGUGCAAUGGCAUAAGCCAGCUUGACUGCGAGCGUGACGGCGCGAGCAGGUGCGAAAGCAGGUCAUAGUGAUCCGGUGGUUCUGAAUGGAAGGGCCAUCGCUCAACGGAUAAAAGGUACUCCGGGGAUAACAGGCUGAUACCGCCCAAGAGUUCAUAUCGACGGCGGUGUUUGGCACCUCGAUGUCGGCUCAUCACAUCCUGGGGCUGAAGUAGGUCCCAAGGGUAUGGCUGUUCGCCAUUUAAAGUGGUACGCGAGCUGGGUUUAGAACGUCGUGAGACAGUUCGGUCCCUAUCUGCCGUGGGCGCUGGAGAACUGAGGGGGGCUGCUCCUAGUACGAGAGGACCGGAGUGGACGCAUCACUGGUGUUCGGGUUGUCAUGCCAAUGGCACUGCCCGGUAGCUAAAUGCGGAAGAGAUAAGUGCUGAAAGCAUCUAAGCACGAAACUUGCCCCGAGAUGAGUUCUCCCUGAGACUUAGAGUCUCCUGAAGGAACGUUGAAGACGACGACGUUGAUAGGCCGGGUGUGUAAGCGCAGCGAUGCGUUGAGCUAACCGGUACUAAUGAACCGUGAGGCUUAACCUUACAACGCCGAAG